Molecule: ribosomal RNA, 958 nt
Filed under: Escherichia coli
Lineage: Bacteria; Pseudomonadati; Pseudomonadota; Gammaproteobacteria; Enterobacterales; Enterobacteriaceae
Description: partial 23S ribosomal RNA
Rfam family: Bacterial large subunit ribosomal RNA
Source: RNAcentral
CCCAGUAGCGGCGAGCGAACGGGGAGGAGCCCAGAGCCUGAAUCAGUGUGUGUGUUAGUGGAAGCGUCUGGAAAGGCGCGCGAUACAGGGUGACAGCCCCGUACACAAAAAUGCACAUAUUGUGAGCUCGAUGAGUAGGGCGGGACACGUGGUAUCCUGUCUGAAUAUGGGGGGACCAUCCUCCAAGGCUAAAUACUCCUGACUGACCGAUAGUGAACCAGUACCGUGAGGGAAAGGCGAAAAGAACCCCGGCGAGGGGAGUGAAAAAGAACCUGAAACCGUGUACGUACAAGCAGUGGGAGCCUCUUAAUGGGGUGACUGCGUACCUUUUGUAUAAUGGGUCAGCGACUUAUAUUCUGUAGCAAGGUUAACCGAAUAGGGGAGCCGAAGGGAAACCGAGUCUUAACUGGGCGUUAAGUUGCAGGGUAUAGACCCGAAACCCGGUGAUCUAGCCAUGGGCAGGUUGAAGGUUGGGUAACACUAACUGGAGGACCGAACCGACUAAUGUUGAAAAAUUAGCGGAUGACUUGUGGCUGGGGGUGAAAGGCCAAUCAAACCGGGAGAUAGCUGGUUCUCCCCGAAAGCUAUUUAGGUAGCGCCUCGUGAAUUCAUCUCCGGGGGUAGAGCACUGUUUCGGCAAGGGGGUCAUCCCGACUUACCAACCCGAUGCAAACUGCGAAUACCGGAGAAUGUUAUCACGGGAGACACACGGCGGGUGCUAACGUCCGUCGUGAAGAGGGAAACAACCCAGACCGCCAGCUAAGGUCCCAAAGUCAUGGUUAAGUGGGAAACGAUGUGGGAAGGCCCAGACAGCCAGGAUGUUGGCUUAGAAGCAGCCAUCAUUUAAAGAAAGCGUAAUAGCUCACUGGUCGAGUCGGCCUGCGCGGAAGAUGUAACGGGGCUAAACCAUGCACCGAAGCUGCGGCAGCGACACUAUGUGUUGUUGGGUAGGGGAGCG